GGAAUAAUACAAGGUGUUGGAUAUUGACAGCGUUCUCGCUCUAAUCCGCCAUCUUGGCUCCCUUAGCUAUAUCGGUGUUUCCCUCUUGAAAAAACUACAUUUUAUCGCCUUUAAAAAAGUACUAAACUACCUCAUUCCCUAUUCCAAAACUGAUUUGCAAUCACUGAACAAUUCUUUGACAUUUACUCUAUUCUUAUCGUUGGCAACUGAAAAUUAAAUUAGAAAUUUCAACAUUAAUUCGGCAAAAAAACAUCGGUUUAGAGUUCUCCCCAAGGAUUUGUAGUUAUUUUGGUCGGUGCUUCCUUCCGCUGCAAUUCCGUCUGUGGUUCACUGCCACUGGCCUUGCUUUUUCAACGAUAUAACUGUUUUCUUGUGAUUUUUGCUGCUGCAAUCCCGUCUGUGGUUCACUGCCACUGGCCCUGCUUUUCCAACGAUAUAACUGUUUUUUUGGUAACUUCUACCGCUAAGACUUUGUUGCUUUUUCCCUUUUCCCUAAAAACAUAAUAGUGCUACAAAGCUCAAUAACAAUAUGGAAACAAAUGUUAAUAAGCCACAAUAAUAUUGACAAUAAAUAAGAUUUCACUACGA
Molecule: long non-coding RNA, 588 nt
Organism: Rhagoletis pomonella (apple maggot)
Lineage: Eukaryota; Metazoa; Arthropoda; Insecta; Diptera; Tephritidae
Exons: 2
Source: RefSeq, a predicted model, not a curated record